This is a non-coding RNA of Brassica napus (rape), 132 nucleotides long. The record is from Rfam. Lineage: Eukaryota; Viridiplantae; Streptophyta; Magnoliopsida; Brassicales; Brassicaceae.
GGAAUAUAAGAAUUUGUCUCUUAACUUUUAACUAAAAAAUCUAAGAACUGGUUCUUAAAUAAGAGUUUUAAGAGCUGGUUCUUAACUUUUUUAGUUAAAAAUUAAAAGAUAAAAGAUGGAUUCUUAUAUUCC